UUUGUCUUUUUAAAAUCUUUUAUUUGUUUCAAGCCAUAUGCAUUAGAUAUAUAACCUGUUUAUAAAUAGACAGGAAAUACAAUUUUUAAAUUACAUAAGAAAUUUCAUAUACAUUUUGUACCUUGACUGUUGUGUGCUGGCAUAGAUCAGAAGGAUUUGGGCAAUUAAUUACCUGGUGUGACACUGUGCUGGGAGAUUUGUCGCUAAUAAACAUGUACAUUUGUACAUUGUAAUAAACAAAAGGUAGUGGAUUUAAGAGGAAGUCUGAGGGAAUACUCUCUAAUUUCACUGGAGAAUUUAGGGAGGGAUAUCAGAGUUACCUGGUGUCACACCAAGAAUAAUC
RNAcentral lists this long non-coding RNA (343 nucleotides) under Mytilus galloprovincialis (Mediterranean mussel). The record is from RNAcentral. Lineage: Eukaryota; Metazoa; Mollusca; Bivalvia; Mytilida; Mytilidae.